GACGAACGCUGGCGGCGUGCUUAACACAUGCAAGUCUAACGCAAAGCCCCUGCUGUUGUGGGUAGCUCAAGUGGCGAACGGAUUAGUAACACGUGAGUAACCUGCCCUUUACGGGGUGAUAACUGCAGGAAACUGGGGCUAAUACCGGAUAGGAGCUCCUGCUGCGUGGUGGGGGUUGGAAAGUGACGGCGGUGGGGGAUGGACUCGCGUGUUAUCAGCUUGUUGGUGGGGUAGUGGCUUACAAAGGCGUUGACUGGUAGCCGGCGUGAGAGGGUGACCGGCGCCACUGGGAGUGAGAUACGCCGCCGACACCUCCGGGAGGGAGAAGUGGGGAAUAUUGUAGACUGGGCGGAAGACUGAUGCAGAAACGCCGCGUGCGGGCUGACGGGCUUCGGGGUGUAAAACGUUUUCGCAGGUGACGAAGAGUGAGUGACGGUAAUGGGUAAAGAAGCACCGGCUAAAUACGUG
Molecule: ribosomal RNA, 468 nt
Filed under: uncultured bacterium
Lineage: Bacteria
Description: partial 16S ribosomal RNA
Rfam family: Bacterial small subunit ribosomal RNA
Source: RNAcentral